This 385-nucleotide ribosomal RNA is filed under the name Malassezia restricta. Its description in RNAcentral is "partial small subunit ribosomal RNA". It matches the Rfam family "Eukaryotic small subunit ribosomal RNA", at positions 30 to 432 of the family's 1831-position model. Lineage: Eukaryota; Fungi; Basidiomycota; Malasseziomycetes; Malasseziales; Malasseziaceae. The record is from RNAcentral.
GCUUGUCUCAAAGAUUAAGCCAUGCAUGUCUAAGUAUAAACUGCUUAUACUGUGAAACUGCGAAUGGCUCAUUAAAUCAGUUAUAGUUUAUUUGAUGGUACCUCUACUCGGAUAACCGUAGUAAUUCUAGAGCUAAUACGUGCGUAAAUCCCGACUUCUGGAAGGGACGUAUUUAUUAGAUAAAAAUCAACUUUGUUGGUGAAUCAUAAUAACUUCUCGGACCGCAUGGCCUCGUGCUGGCGGUGCUUCAUUCAAAUAUCUGCCCUAUCAACUGUCGAUGGUAGGAUAGAGGCCUACCAUGGUUGCAACGGGUAACGGGGAAUAAGGGUUCGAUUCCGGAGAGGGAGCCUGAGAAACGGCUACCACAUCCAAGGAAGGCAGCAGG